This 482-nucleotide ribosomal RNA is filed under the name uncultured bacterium. RNAcentral's name for it is "bacterial SSU rRNA". It matches the Rfam family "Bacterial small subunit ribosomal RNA", at positions 30 to 507 of the family's 1533-position model. The record is from RNAcentral.
AUUGAACGCUGGCGGCAUGCCUUACACAUGCAAGUCGAACGGCAGCACGGGAGCAAUCCUGGUGGCGAGUGGCGAACGGGUGAGUAAUAUAUCGGAACGUGCCCAGUCGUGGGGGAUAACGUAGCGAAAGCUACGCUAAUACCGCAUACGAUCUAUGGAUGAAAGCGGGGGAUCGCAAGACCUCGCGCGAUUGGAGCGGCCGAUAUCAGAUUAGGUAGUUGGUGAGGUAAAGGCUCACCAAGCCGACGAUCUGUAGCUGGUCUGAGAGGACGACCAGCCACACUGGGACUGAGACACGGCCCAGACUCCUACGGGAGGCAGCAGUGGGAAUUUUGGACAAUGGGCGCAAGCCUGAUCCAGCAAUGCCGCGUGCAGGAUGAAGGCCUUCGGGUUGUAAACUGCUUUGUACGGAACGAAACGGUGAGCUCUAAUACAGUUUGCUAAUGACGGUACCGUAAGAAUAAGCACCGGCUAACUUCGUG